AAGUCGUAACAAGGUUUCCGUAGGUGAACCUGCGGAAGGAUCAUUAAUGAAUUUAACUGGUUGGGUUGAUGCUGGUUCCUUGGAACAUGUGCACACCUGCCACCAUUCUUCAACCACCCUGUGCACCUUUUGUAGGCUUAAGAAACUAUGCUCGAGGCAACUCGGUUGUGAGAACUGCUGUGCUUCCGUUCAGGAAAAAGCCAGCUGCUCUUGAGUUUCUCAGUCUAUGUCUUUACCACAACACUCCAUAUGUAUGUCUUUGAAUGUAUUUGUUGGGCCUUUCGAGUGCCUCUAGAACUUAAUACAACUUUCAACAACGGAUCUCUUGGCUCUC
This 334-nucleotide unclassified non-coding RNA is filed under the name Lulesia popinalis. Its description in RNAcentral is "Clitocella popinalis partial internal transcribed spacer region". The stretch from base 1 to 46 matches the Rfam family "Eukaryotic small subunit ribosomal RNA", at positions 1786 to 1831 of the family's 1831-position model. The record is from RNAcentral. Lineage: Eukaryota; Fungi; Basidiomycota; Agaricomycetes; Agaricales; Entolomataceae.